Molecule: unclassified non-coding RNA, 848 nt
Filed under: Hevea brasiliensis (rubber tree)
Lineage: Eukaryota; Viridiplantae; Streptophyta; Magnoliopsida; Malpighiales; Euphorbiaceae
Source: RNAcentral
GGAAAAAAAAAAAAAAGGAAAGAAUGAGUUACUCAAUUGUUAGAGACAAGCAUGGCUCUCAAAAGAUGGAAAAUAGCCCAAAUUCCAAAGAAUAGUAUCUCUUUUCAUCUCUCAACAAAGAUUGUUUCCUAUAAAAAAAGAAAGGAAAAAAAAAAAGAACAUCCUCGCUUGGACAACAAAUUGCCACAUUUUUACCCCAGAAAAAUGUUUUUGUGUUUUAGGCAUACAGCAAAUAGGCCAUCUGAUCAGCAUAGCCCAACCUAGGAAUAUUCAUUUCCUGCUACAUUUAUUUAACAUUACUAGGAAACAGUAGUCAACACCCCAGUUGUUGAGGAAAAGUUAUUUUCCAGCUCAAAAUUUGGUUCUGGAGAAUACAUUAGCAACAUUGUCCACAAUAAAUAAACUUUUCAUAUCUAUUGCUGUUGGUCAGCAUGACAAGACACAUGAUGACAUUUAUACUUCUUUCAAUUUUUAAACCACACCAAAAAGAAAUAUAUCUCCACAACAUACUCUCCUAUAAAUAUGAGCAAAUCUUAAUGACUAAUAGGAAAUAUUUGAAAGUGAUAAAAAAUUACUAUAGAUAUUAACUGCACCGAAGAAGUUAGGAAGGAAGGCAACAUACACAUUGGCAUGCAUUUAGACAUCAAAGAGCAGUUUGGUCGCUUGUUCAGUUUCUUUUUAAUUCUAAUUCUAAUUUAGAAUAUAUAUAUAUAUAUAAAGGAAUUUAUAUGAACUAGAUAAAAUGUUAUUUGCAAAUAGGAACUCUCAGUGCUUAAUGAAUGACCAAGGAUUUUGUGAUGUUGCAGGCUUUUCAACAGUUCACAGGCAUCAAUACAGUUAUGUACUAU